Molecule: ribosomal RNA, 594 nt
Filed under: Trichoderma asperellum
Lineage: Eukaryota; Fungi; Ascomycota; Sordariomycetes; Hypocreales; Hypocreaceae
Description: eukaryotic LSU rRNA
Rfam family: 5.8S ribosomal RNA (bases 204-357)
Source: RNAcentral
GGGACUCGGAGGGAUCAUUACCGAGUUUACAACUCCCAAACCCAAUGUGAACGUUACCAAACUGUUGCCUCGGCGGGGUCACGCCCCGGGUGCGUCGCAGCCCCGGAACCAGGCGCCCGCCGGAGGAACCAACCAAACUCUUUCUGUAGUCCCCUCGCGGACGUAUUUCUUACAGCUCUGAGCAAAAAUUCAAAAUGAAUCAAAACUUUCAACAACGGAUCUCUUGGUUCUGGCAUCGAUGAAGAACGCAGCGAAAUGCGAUAAGUAAUGUGAAUUGCAGAAUUCAGUGAAUCAUCGAAUCUUUGAACGCACAUUGCGCCCGCCAGUAUUCUGGCGGGCAUGCCUGUCCGAGCGUCAUUUCAACCCUCGAACCCCUCCGGGGGAUCGGCGUUGGGGAUCGGGACCCCUCACACGGGUGCCGGCCCCGAAAUACAGUGGCGGUCUCGCCGCAGCCUCUCCUGCGCAGUAGUUUGCACAACUCGCACCGGGAGCGCGGCGCGUCCACGUCCGUAAAACACCCAACUUUCUGAAAUGUUGACCUCGGAUCAGGUAGGAAUACCCGCUGAACUUAAGCAUAUCAUAAGCGGGAAGGAA